This 579-nucleotide ribosomal RNA is filed under the name Synechocystis aquatilis ISB32. Its description in RNAcentral is "bacterial SSU rRNA". It matches the Rfam family "Bacterial small subunit ribosomal RNA", at positions 72 to 692 of the family's 1533-position model. Lineage: Bacteria; Bacillati; Cyanobacteriota; Cyanophyceae; Synechococcales; Merismopediaceae. The record is from RNAcentral.
GGGCUCUUCGGAGCUAGUGGCGGACGGGUGAGGAACGCGUGAAAACCUGCCUCAAGGUCGGGGACAACAGUUGGAAACCACUGCUAAUACCGGAUGAGCCGUAUAGGUAAAAGAUUUAUCGCCUAGAGAGGGGCUCGCGUCUGAUUAGCUCGAUGGUGGGGUAAAAGCUUACCAUGGCGACGAUCAGUAGCUGGUCUGAGAGGAUGAGCAGCCACACUGGGACUGAGACACGGCCCAGACUCCUACGGGAGGCAGCAGUGGGGAAUUUUCCGCAAUGGGCGAAAGCCUGACGGAGCAAUACCGCGUGAGGGAGGAAGGCUCUUGGGUUGUAAACCUCAAAACUUAGGGAAGAAAAAAAUGACGGUACCUAAUAUAAGCAUCGGCUAACUCCGUGCCAGCAGCCGCGGUAAUACGGAGGAUGCAAGCGUUAUCCGGAAUCAUUGGGCGUAAAGAGUCCGUAGGUGGCACAUCAAGUCUGCUUUCAAAGACCGAAGCUCAACUUCGGAAAGGGAGUGGAAACUGAAGAGCUAGAGUAUAGUAGGGGUAGAGGGAAUUCCUAGUGUAGCGGUGAAAUGCGUA